This is a non-coding RNA of Daucus carota subsp. sativus, 150 nucleotides long. The record is from Rfam. NCBI's taxonomy places the organism in Eukaryota, Viridiplantae, Streptophyta, Magnoliopsida, Apiales, Apiaceae.
GGUUCGAUGCCACGUCGACGGUAGCGAAAGUGCAAUGACCGACGAUGCUACGAUUGAACCUAUAUUAAUUUACGUGUUUCGCAUUCUAUAGGAACCUGUGGAUUCUAUUUUUUCCGUAUGUCCAUGGAGCCGUUUUUUGCGAUUACAUUU